This 238-nucleotide long non-coding RNA is filed under the name Setaria italica (foxtail millet). RNAcentral describes it as "long non-coding RNA (SITA_LNC004986)". Lineage: Eukaryota; Viridiplantae; Streptophyta; Magnoliopsida; Poales; Poaceae. The record is from RNAcentral.
GAGAGAGGCACCAAAGAGAACUCCGAGUCGAUCUCCGAAUGAGCACAGAACCACGAUCCGGGGUGGAUGCGACCAAGCGACGAGGUAAGAGGCAACGAAACCUUGAAGACUUCAACUCAAUCAUCGAACGACCGUAGAACCACAAUCAGGGACUAAUCCACACAAAAUGAUGCAGCCUAACUGAAAGCCGUAGAGGACGAAUUAGGGGACCUCAGAGAUAUAUUUUCACAAGUUCAAG